CCUACGGGUGGCUGCAGUGGGGAAUAUUGGACAAUGGGGGGAACCCUGAUCCAGCCAUGCCGCGUGUGUGAAGAAGGCCCUCGGGUUGUAAAGCACUUUCAGUGAGGAAGAACGCCUGGUGGUUAAUACCCAUCAGGAAAGACAUCACUCACAGAAGAAGCACCGGCUAACUCCGUGCCAGCAGCCGCGGUAAUACGGAGGGUGCGAGCGUUAAUCGGAAUUACUGGGCGUAAAGCGCGCGUAGGUGGCUUGAUAAGCCGGUUGUGAAAGCCCCGGGCUCAACCUGGGAACGGCAUCCGGAACUGUCAAGCUAGAGUGCAGGAGAGGAAGGUAGAAUUCCCGGUGUAGCGGUGAAAUGCGUAGAGAUCGGGAGGAAUACCAGUGGCGAAGGCGGCCUUCUGGACUGACACUGACACUGAGGUGCGAAAGCGUGGGUAGCAAACAGGAUUAGAUACCCCCUGUAGUC
This 466-nucleotide ribosomal RNA is filed under the name Vreelandella stevensii. RNAcentral's name for it is "partial 16S ribosomal RNA". It matches the Rfam family "Bacterial small subunit ribosomal RNA", at positions 338 to 795 of the family's 1533-position model. The record is from RNAcentral. Lineage: Bacteria; Pseudomonadati; Pseudomonadota; Gammaproteobacteria; Oceanospirillales; Halomonadaceae.